AGUCAAGUAAUUAAGUGCAUGUGGUGGAUGCCUUGGCAGUCAGAGGCGAUGAAAGACGUGAUAGCCUGCGAAAAGCUCCGGGGAGGCGGCAAAUAUCCUUUGAUCCGGAGAUGUCUGAAUGGGGGAACCCACCUACUUUAAGGUAGGUAUUGCAACAUGAAUACAUAGUGUUGCAAGGCGAACGAGGGGAAGUGAAACAUCUCAGUACCCUUAGGAAAAGAAAUCAAUUGAGAUUCCCUCAGUAGCGGCGAGCGAACGGGGAUCAGCCCAUUAAGUUAUGUGUGUUUUAGUGGAACGCUCUGGGAAGUGCGAACGUAGAGGGUGAUAUUCCCGUACACGAAAGGGCACACAUAAUGAUGACGAGUAGGGCGAGGCACGUGAAACCUUGUCUGAAUAUGGGGGGACCAUCCUCCAAGGCUAAAUACUCCUGACUGACCGAUAGUGAGCCAGUACCGCGAGGGAAAGGCGAAAAGAACCCCUGUGAGGGGAGUGAAAUAGAUCCUGAAACCGCAUGCAUACAAGCAGUGGGAGCACCUUCGUGGUGUGACUGCGUACCUUUUGUAUAAUGGGUCAGCGACUUAUAUUCAGUAGCGAGGUUAACCGUAUAGGGGAGCCGUAGAGAAAUCGAGUCUUAAUAGGGCGUUUAGUUGCUGGGUAUAGACCCGAAACCAGGCGAUCUAUCCAUGAGCAGGUUGAAGGUUGGGUAACACUAACUGGAGGACCGAACCCACUGUCGUUGAAAAGCCAGGGGAUGACUUGUGGAUAGGGGUGAAAGGCUAAUCAAGCCUGGUGAUAGCUGGUUCUCCCCGAAAGCUAUUUAGGUAGCGCCUCGGACGAAUACCAUAGGGGGUAGAGCACUGUUUCGGCUAGGGGGUCAUCCCGACUUACCAAACCGAUGCAAACUCCGAAUACCUAUGAGUACUAUCCGGGAGACAGACUGCGGGUGCUAACGUCCGUAGUCAAGAGGAAAACAAUCCAGACCGCCAGCUAAGGCCCCAAAAUCAUAGUUAAGUGGGAAACGAUGUGGGAAGGCAUAGACAGCUAGGAGGUUGGCUUAGAAGCAGCCACCCUUUAAAGAAAGCGUAAUAGCUCACUAGUCGAGUCGGCCUGCGCGGAAGAUGUAACGGGGCUAAAACUAUGUGCCGAAGCUGCGGAUGUAUACUUUGUAUACGUGGUAGGGGAGCGUUCUGUAAGCCGAUGAAGGUGUGUUGAGAAGCAUGCUGGAGGUAUCAGAAGUGCGAAUGCUGACGUGAGUAACGACAAAACGGGUGAAAAACCCGUUCGCCGAAAGACCAAGGGUUCCAGUCCAACGUUAAUCGGGGCUGGGUGAGUCGACCCCUAAGGCGAGGCCGAAAGGCGUAGUCGAUGGGAAAAUGGUUAAUAUUCCAUUACUUCUGUGUAAUGCGAUGAGAGGACGGAGAAGGCUAAAUCAGCCUGGCGUUGGUUGUCCAGGUGAAAGGAUGUAGGCAUGUAUCUUAGGCAAAUCCGGGGUACUCUAUGCUGAGAUCUGAUAGCAAGCUGUACUUGUACAGCGAAGUGGUUGAUGCCAUGCUUCCAGGAAAAGUCUCUAAGCUUCAGUUACACAGGAAUCGUACCCGAAACCGACACAGGUGGUCAGGUCGAGUAGACCAAGGCGCUUGAGAGAACUCUGCUGAAGGAACUAGGCAAAAUGGUACCGUAACUUCGGGAGAAGGUACGCUGUUGUUGGUGAUGGAACUCGCUUCCUGAGCUGACGACAGCCGCAGAAACCAGGCCGCUGCAACUGUUUAUUAAAAACAUAGCACUCUGCAAACACGAAAGUGGACGUAUAGGGUGUGAUGCCUGCCCGGUGCUGGAAGGUUAAUUGAUGGGGUUAGCGUAAGCGAAGCUCUUGAUCGAAGCCCCAGUAAACGGCGGCCGUAACUAUAACGGUCCUAAGGUAGCGAAAUUCCUUGUCGGGUAAGUUCCGACCUGCACGAAUGGCAUAAUGAUGGCGGCGCUGUCUCCAGCAGAGGCUCAGUGAAAUCGAAAUCGCUGUGAAGAUGCAGUGUACCCGCGGCUAGACGGAAAGACCCCGUGAACCUUUACUGCAGCUUGACACUGAACUUUGACCUUACUUGUGUAGGAUAGGUGGGAGGCUUUGAAGCUGGAACGCUAGUUCCAGUGGAGCCGUCCUUGAAAUACCACCCUGGUAAUGUUGAGGUUCUAACUCUGUCCCGUGAUCCGGGACGAGGACCGUGUCUGGUGGGUAGUUUGACUGGGGCGGUCUCCUCCUAAAGAGUAACGGAGGAGUACGAAGGUGCGCUCAGCGUGGUCGGAAAUCACGCGUAGAGUAUAAAGGCAAAAGCGCGCUUAACUGCGAGACCCACAAGUCGAGCAGGUACGAAAGUAGGUCUUAGUGAUCCGGUGGUUCUGUAUGGAAGGGCCAUCGCUCAACGGAUAAAAGGUACUCUGGGGAUAACAGGCUGAUACCGCCCAAGAGUUCAUAUCGACGGCGGUGUUUGGCACCUCGAUGUCGGCUCAUCUCAUCCUGGGGCUGAAGCAGGUCCCAAGGGUAUGGCUGUUCGCCAUUUAAAGAGGUACGCGAGCGUGGGUUUAGAACGUCGUGAGACAGUUCGGUCCCUAUCUACCGUGGGCGCUGGAAAUUUGAGAGGAUCUGCUCCUAGUACGAGAGGACCAGAGUGGACGAACCUCUGGUGUACCGGUUGUGACGCCAGUCGCAUCGCCGGGUAGCUAUGUUCGGAAGGGAUAACCGCUGAAAGCAUCUAAGCGGGAAGCCUACCUCAAGAUAAGAUUUCCCUAGGACUUUAUGUCCUCUAAAGAGCCGUUCGAGACUAGGACGUUGAUAGGUUGGAUGUGGAAGCAUAGUGAUAUGUGAAGCUGACCAAUACUAAUUGCUCGUGAGGCUUGACUAUACAACACCC
RNAcentral lists this ribosomal RNA (2903 nucleotides) under Acinetobacter baumannii OIFC137. RNAcentral's name for it is "bacterial LSU rRNA". It matches the Rfam family "Bacterial large subunit ribosomal RNA". Lineage: Bacteria; Pseudomonadati; Pseudomonadota; Gammaproteobacteria; Moraxellales; Moraxellaceae. The record is from RNAcentral.